This 253-nucleotide ribosomal RNA is filed under the name uncultured bacterium. RNAcentral describes it as "partial 16S ribosomal RNA". It matches the Rfam family "Bacterial small subunit ribosomal RNA", at positions 524 to 776 of the family's 1533-position model. The record is from RNAcentral.
UACAGAGGGUGCAAGCGUUGUUCGGAAUUAUUGGGCGUAAAGGGCGCGUAGGCGGUGCGGUAAGUCUCUAGUGAAAUCUCCGGGCUCAACUCGGAGCCUGCUAGGGAAACUGCCGUGCUUGAGUGUGGGAGAGGUGAGUGGAAUUCCCGGUGUAGCGGUGAAAUGCGUAGAUAUUGGGAGGAACACCGAUGGCGUAAGCAGUCUACUGGCCUGUUUCUGACACUAAGGCACGAAAGCGUGGGGAGCAAACGGG